This 242-nucleotide ribozyme is filed under the name Compsopogon caeruleus. Its description in RNAcentral is "partial Nuclear RNase P". It matches the Rfam family "Nuclear RNase P", at positions 94 to 294 of the family's 301-position model. Rfam says of the family: Ribonuclease P (RNase P) is a ubiquitous endoribonuclease, found in archaea, bacteria and eukarya as well as chloroplasts and mitochondria. Lineage: Eukaryota; Rhodophyta; Compsopogonophyceae; Compsopogonales; Compsopogonaceae. The record is from RNAcentral.
GUUCGAGAUGGACAUCAGGCCACGCGCUUGAUCUGGCUUACCAGAAAUGGGACGAGUUCGUGCAUGGAGCCUUGCGUCGGAGAAAUUGGGAGCUAUAGCUACCCAGUCGAGGCGCGGAAACGCUUCGGACUACGGUGAAACAAUGGGCCAGUUCAGUGUCUUUGCGAACAGUGCAAUGCGCGAGGGGUGAAGGAGGGGGGGAAACAAUUCUCCGGCACCAAACUCAAUCCGGACUACUCUCG